GGGGAAUAUUGGACAAUGGGCGAAAGCCUGAUCCAGCCAUGCCGCGUGUGUGAAGAAGGUCUUCGGAUUGUAAAGCACUUUAAGUUGGGAGGAAGGGUUUCUGGCUAAUAUCCAGGAAUUUUGACGUUACCGACAGAAUAAGCACCGGCUAACUUCGUGCCAGCAGCCGCGGUAAUACGAAGGGUGCAAGCGUUAAUCGGAAUUAGUGGGCGUAAAGCGCGCGCAGGUGGUUUCUUAAGUCUGAUGUGAAAGCCCACGGCUUAACCGGGAGGGUCAUUGGAAACUGGGAGACUUGAGUGCAGAAGAGGAAAGUGGAAUUCCAAGUGUAGCGGUGAAAUGCGUAGAGAUUUGGAGGAACACCAGUGGCGAAGGCGACUUUCUGGUCUGCAACUGACGCUGAGGCGCGAAAGCAUGGGGAGCAAACA
This 425-nucleotide ribosomal RNA is filed under the name uncultured bacterium. RNAcentral describes it as "bacterial SSU rRNA". It matches the Rfam family "Bacterial small subunit ribosomal RNA", at positions 356 to 774 of the family's 1533-position model. The record is from RNAcentral.